Long non-coding RNA from Myotis brandtii (Brandt's bat), 215 nucleotides. RefSeq lists it as uncharacterized. Lineage: Eukaryota; Metazoa; Chordata; Mammalia; Chiroptera; Vespertilionidae. The record is from RefSeq and is a predicted model, not a curated record. The transcript is spliced from 2 exons.
GGACAGGAUAAGAGAAAAUGAUAGCAAUUGCCUGAAUAAUGAACCUAACUUUUUUAAAAAGCAUUCAUGUGAUGAUGAUAAGGAAGCUACGUUUUUAAAAACUGCUGCUCGCAAGUUGAAGCAAUUUCUUAAAAUGAAUAUCCAUGAGGAAUUCAAGCUCCACUUAUCAAUAGUUUCACAGGGCACAUUAAAACUGUUGAACUGCACCAGGAAGG